This 130-nucleotide small RNA is filed under the name Salmonella enterica. Its description in RNAcentral is "partial RtT sRNA". It matches the Rfam family "RtT RNA", at positions 35 to 130 of the family's 130-position model. Rfam says of the family: This family represents a bacterial cis-regulatory element known as RtT RNA. The exact function of RtT is unknown although it is thought that it may be involved in changing the cellular response in relation to amino acid starvation. RNAcentral also lists the same sequence under 1 other name. Lineage: Bacteria; Pseudomonadati; Pseudomonadota; Gammaproteobacteria; Enterobacterales; Enterobacteriaceae. The record is from RNAcentral.
UCGCAGGUUCGAAUCCUGCACGACCCACCAAUAUACAAGGUGGUAACUGGUAGAGAACGUGAAGGAUAAUGUUGCUUUAGCAACGGCCCGAAGGGCGAGGCGAAGCCGAGUCAUCCUGCACGACCCACCA